ACUGGCGAAGCAAGCUCCUGGUCCCUCCCUCUCUCGGCCUCCUGCCGCCGCUACAGGAGGCCAAGCGGGCUGGGUCCAGCGCAUCUCUCUCAGCCCAGAGUUCAGAACCCAGAACUUCAUUCCACCUGCGGCUGCACUCCCCACAGCGGACCCAGAGGACGGCGGUGGAGGGGGAAAAACAAAAAACUCACAUUUAUACAUGGGAAGACUGUUGAUUCAGAGGAAAGCGGCAACCUGUGGCAGUUUGCUGGAGGCAACCUGAAGGAGUUUCCUGAAUGGCUCAAAUGAAGCUUGACAUUAUUAAUAACCUGGGAUCCAGCCUGUGGCCUUCCUCCUAGUGCUUUCAUGAAAUCAGCAUAACUGCUGGCAAAGCCCUUUAUUGCCAUCGCAAUUAACGACAGCUCUUUCUGUGGCAUCUCAGGAAGCAGACCUGGACUCCAAAGCCCACGUGGAACAGCGAGCACCUCCACAGCCAGGCCUGGUGGGGCUGCUGCGCCCUCUGCUGGAAGAGUCUGGGAGCAGCUCUAGUUCAUCUCCGCUUCCCUCUGGGCAGGGUCCACAGGGUACUCUCUGACUUGAACUUUGUUGUCAUUGGCUGUGGGGUUCCCUUAAUUGUGAGUGAACAAAAGUGAGAAAGGAUCCCCUUGCUCUAGGCAUAAGGGCUGGGUGCCUGGGGUGUGGGGUGGGGACAAGUCUGAAGUCAGAGAAGGAGACAGGAGCAGGGGAGGGGCCGUGCCUGCUGGGAGAUUUAGGGUGCAGGGUACAUUCUGAGACACAGAGUAUUGUCAGAGUUGGGACUAGGAGUCAGAGUGAGUCUAGGGUAGAAAUAAGAGUGCGAGUGAGGCAGGCCAGGGCUGGAUGAGGGGAGGGCGCAAGGAGGGAGCACCACAGGGCUAGGCACCAGGUAGCAGCUAGGUGUUACACAGGUAGGAGAGCAAGGUUGGCUCCCUUGAGGCUAAAGCAACUUUUUAAGUGACAUUCCUGGGGUGUGACUGAGUCCUGGAGCCUCAGGAGGAGGCACUGGAGCAGGGCUGGGUGGGGCUGGGCAGGGCUGUCACAGGAGGUCUGCUUUCUGGCGAGGCCUGCGUGGCUGAUGUCCCCUUUCUGGGUGUAUGGGGGACACAGAGCCAGCUGCUGUUUAACCACUCGAGGCUGAUGCCCCCGCUCUCCUUCCCAGCUCCCUCAGACCCGGGACUCCCACAGUUAUCUGCUUUGUGCCAGAUCUUGUUCUUCACCCCCCUGAAGACAAGCCCAUGUACUUUUUGCUAAGAUUUAGUAUCUAUUUAUUUUUCUGUAACUUAUAAAGCAAUAACACUGUCAUCUUGGUUGUCUGUAAAAUAAGAUCUUACAUUUGUGUGAUUCUUCACAUAUUAAAGAGCUAUUGGGUUGGC
Phyllostomus hastatus (greater spear-nosed bat) is the source of this 1391-nucleotide long non-coding RNA. RefSeq lists it as uncharacterized. The transcript has 3 exons. Lineage: Eukaryota; Metazoa; Chordata; Mammalia; Chiroptera; Phyllostomidae. The record is from RefSeq and is a predicted model, not a curated record.